CGGCGCGUGGCCUCGUCGAGCAGCGGCGACGGCGCUUCUUCGAUGACCUUCUGGUUGCGGCGCUGGAUCGAGCAUUCGCGCUCGCCGAGAUAGAUCACGUUGCCAUGCUUGUCGCCCAGCACCUGAAUUUCGAUGUGGCGCGGAUCGACAAUGAACUUUUCGACGAAAACGCGGUCGUCGCCGAACGACGCUUUCGCCUCGGCCUUGGCGAGGUUGAAGCCUUCCUCGACUUCGGAUUUCGAAUGGGCGAUGCGCAUGCCCUUGCCGCCGCCGCCGGCCGACGCCUUGAUCAUGACCGGAUAACCGAUCUCGUCGGCGAUCUUGGCGGCAUGCGCCGCGUCCUCGAUCACACCGAGAUAGCCCGGCACGGUGGACACCUUGGCCUUGGCUGCGGCCUUCUUCGAUUCAAUCUUGUCGCCCAUCGCGGCGAUCGCGCCCGGAUUAGGACCGAUAAAAACGCCCCCCGCUGCCGCCAGCGCCCGCGGGAAAGCCUCACGUUCGGACAGGAACCCAUAGCCAGGGUGCACCGCCUCUGCUCCGGUCUGGCGG
This 549-nucleotide unclassified non-coding RNA is filed under the name Hevea brasiliensis (rubber tree). Lineage: Eukaryota; Viridiplantae; Streptophyta; Magnoliopsida; Malpighiales; Euphorbiaceae. The record is from RNAcentral.